RNAcentral lists this ribosomal RNA (598 nucleotides) under Diaporthe phaseolorum. Its description in RNAcentral is "eukaryotic LSU rRNA". The stretch from base 233 to 386 matches the Rfam family "5.8S ribosomal RNA". Lineage: Eukaryota; Fungi; Ascomycota; Sordariomycetes; Diaporthales; Diaporthaceae. The record is from RNAcentral.
AGGAAGUAAAAGUCGUAACAAGGUCUCCGUUGGUGAACCAGCGGGAGGGAUCAUUGCUGGAACGCGCUUCGGCGCACCCAGAAACCCUUUGGUGAACUUAUACCUAUUGUUGCCUCGGCGCAGGCCGGCCUCUUCACUGAGGCCCCCCUGGAAACAGGGAGCAGCCCGCCGGCGGCCAACCAAACUCUUGUUUCUAUAGUGAAUCUCUGAGUAAAAAACAUAAAUGAAUCAAAACUUUCAACAACGGAUCUCUUGGUUCUGGCAUCGAUGAAGAACGCAGCGAAAUGCGAUAAGUAAUGUGAAUUGCAGAAUUCAGUGAAUCAUCGAAUCUUUGAACGCACAUUGCGCCCUCUGGUAUUCCGGAGGGCAUGCCUGUUCGAGCGUCAUUUCAACCCUCAAGCCUGGCUUGGUGAUGGGGCACUGCCUGUAAAAGGGCAGGCCCUGAAAAUCUAGUGGCGAGCUCGCCAGGACCCCGAGCGUAGUAGUUAUAUCUCGCUCUGGAAGGCCCUGGCGGUGCCCUGCCCGUUAACCCCCAAUUCUGAAAAUUGACCUCGGAUCAGGUAGGAAUACCGCUGAACUUAAGCAUAUCAAUAGCGGG